GAAAGUAGGUGAGGCGAUUGCAGGCUAGAGUGGAGCGAAUCGUUCCCUCCGGCUUGAGGAAAGUCCGGGCUCCCGAAAGACCAGACUUGCUGGGUAACGCCCAGUGCGGGCGACCGUGAGGAGAGUGCCACAGAAACAUACCGCCGAUGGUGGGGAUGGUUUCAUCCCUUCACAGGUAAGGGUGCAAAGGUGCGGUAAGAGCGCACCAGCAGCAUCGAGAGGUGCUGGCUCGGUAAACCCCGGUUGGGUGCAAGGUCGAAGGAACGACGGUUGGUCUUUUACCGGUUCCGCCGAAAAGAACCGCUCGAGGUGCUUGGUAACAAGCGUCCCAGAUAGAUAAUUGCCCUCUUGGCUGUGUUCGGCUAGGAGAACAGAACCCGGCUUACGACUGCUUUCUCUA
This 400-nucleotide RNase P RNA is filed under the name Zarconia navalis LEGE 11467. RNAcentral describes it as "Bacterial RNase P class A". It matches the Rfam family "Bacterial RNase P class A". From Rfam's summary of the family: Ribonuclease P (RNase P) is a ubiquitous endoribonuclease, found in archaea, bacteria and eukarya as well as chloroplasts and mitochondria. Its best characterised activity is the generation of mature 5'-ends of tRNAs by cleaving the 5'-leader elements of precursor-tRNAs. The record is from Rfam by way of RNAcentral. Lineage: Bacteria; Bacillati; Cyanobacteriota; Cyanophyceae; Oscillatoriales.